CUAGUACUCCCUCCGUCCAAAAAAUUUUGUCUUAGAUUUCUCUAAACAUGAAUGUAUCAAGUCAUGUUUUAGUAUUAGAUACAUCCGUAUCUAGAUAAAUCUUAGACAAGAAUUUUGGAACGGAGGGUAGUACUAG
This 136-nucleotide microRNA precursor is filed under the name Hordeum vulgare. RNAcentral describes it as "microRNA MIR1122". It matches the Rfam family "MIR1120/MIR1122 microRNA precursor family". Lineage: Eukaryota; Viridiplantae; Streptophyta; Magnoliopsida; Poales; Poaceae. The record is from RNAcentral.